GGAGGGAUGGCAGAGUGGACGAUUGCGACGGUCUUGAAAACCGUUGUGGGGGCAACCUCACCGGGGGUUCGAAUCCCUCUCCCUCCGCCU
RNAcentral lists this transfer RNA (90 nucleotides) under Chloroflexota bacterium. RNAcentral's name for it is "tRNA-Ser". It matches the Rfam family "tRNA". From Rfam's summary of the family: Transfer RNA (tRNA) molecules are approximately 80 nucleotides in length. The record is from RNAcentral. Lineage: Bacteria; Bacillati; Chloroflexota.